This 378-nucleotide unclassified non-coding RNA is filed under the name uncultured Muribaculaceae bacterium. Its description in RNAcentral is "contains 16S-23S intergenic spacer region". Lineage: Bacteria; Pseudomonadati; Bacteroidota; Bacteroidia; Bacteroidales; Muribaculaceae. The record is from RNAcentral.
UCGCGGCUUGCGCCGGCAGUCCGUGCAGAGUCCCCAGCCUUUCCUGCUGGCAACUGCACGCGGGGGUUGCGCUCGUUAUGGCACUUAAGCCGACACCUCACGGCACGAGCUGACGACAACCAUGCAGCACCUCGGAAGACGUCCCGAGGGAAAGGGGCGUCUCUGCCCCUGCCGUCUCCCGUUUGAGCCCGGGUAAGGUUCCUCGCGUAUCAUCGAAUUAAACCACAUGUUCCUCCGCUUGUGCGGGCCCCCGUCAAUUCCUUUGAGUUUCACCGUUGCCGGCGUACUCCCCAGGUGGAAUGCUUAUCGCUUUCGCUUCGCCCCCCAGGCAUAUCUCUGCCCGGACAGCAAGCAUUCAUCGUUUACUGCGUGGACUAC